This 426-nucleotide ribosomal RNA is filed under the name uncultured prokaryote. Its description in RNAcentral is "bacterial SSU rRNA". It matches the Rfam family "Bacterial small subunit ribosomal RNA", at positions 355 to 796 of the family's 1533-position model. The record is from RNAcentral.
UGAGGAAUAUUGCACAAUGGGGGAAACCCUGAUGCAGCAACGCCGCGUGGAGGAUGACAGCCUUAUAGGUUUUAAACUCCUUUUCUGAGGGAAGAGAAAGGACGGUACCUUAGGAAUAAGUCACGGCUAACUACGUGCCAGCAGCCGCGGUAACACGUAGGUGACGAGCGUUAUCCGGAAUUACUGGGCGUAAAGGGCACGCAGGCGGUUAGUCAAGUCCGACGUGAAAUUUCUCGGCUUAACUGGGAGGCGUCGUUGGAAACUGGCUAACUUGAGGUAAUGAGAGGGGUGUAGAAUUCAUGGUGUAGUGGUGGAAUGCGUAGAUAUCAUGAGGAAUACCAGUGGCGAAAGCGGCACCCUGGCAUUGACCUGACGCUCAUGUGCGAAAGCGUGGGUAGCGAACGGGAUUAGAUACCCCCGUAGUCC